This 253-nucleotide ribosomal RNA is filed under the name uncultured bacterium. Its description in RNAcentral is "partial 16S ribosomal RNA". It matches the Rfam family "Bacterial small subunit ribosomal RNA", at positions 524 to 776 of the family's 1533-position model. The record is from RNAcentral.
UACAGAGGUGGCAAGCGUUGUUCGGAAUUACUGGGCGUAAAGGGCGCGUAGGCGGUCUGGUCAGUCCCUUGUGAAAUCCCCCGGCUCAACUGGGGAACUGCACGGGAAACAGCCGGGCUUGAGUUCGGGAGAGGGAAGCGGAAUUCCGGGUGUAGCGGUGAAAUGCGUAGAUAUCCGGAGGAACACCGGUGGCGAAGGCGGCUUCCUGGACCGAUACUGACGCUGAGGCGCGAAAGAGUGGGGAGCAAACAGG